RNAcentral lists this ribosomal RNA (252 nucleotides) under uncultured bacterium. RNAcentral describes it as "partial 16S ribosomal RNA". It matches the Rfam family "Bacterial small subunit ribosomal RNA", at positions 524 to 776 of the family's 1533-position model. The record is from RNAcentral.
UACGAAGGGGGCUAGCGUUGCUCGGAAUCACUGGGCGUAAAGGGUGCGUAGGCGGGUUUUAAGUCAGAGGUGAAAUCCUGGAGCUCAACCCCAGAACUGCCUUUGAUACUGAAAGUCUUGAGUAUGGGAGAGGUGAGUGGAACUGCGAGUGUAGAGGUGAAAUUCGUAGAUAUUCGCAAGAACACCAGUGGCGAAGGCGGCUCACUGGCCCAUUACUGACGCUGAGGCACGAAAGCGUGGGGAGCAAACAGG